GGUAUGUGGUCGUAGACCCGAAACCAGGUGAUCUACCCAUGUCCAGGAUGAAGUUCAGGUAACACUGAAUGGAGGUCCGAACCCACGCACGUUGAAAAGUGCGGGGAUGAGGUGUGGGUAGCGGAGAAAUUCCAAUCGAACUUGGAGAUAGCUGGUUCUCUCCGAAAUAGCUUUAGGGCUAGCCUCAUGUGUAAGAGUCUUGGAGGUAGAGCACUGUUUGGACUAGGGGCCCUCAUCGGGUUACCGAAUUCAGACAAACUCCGAAUGCCAAAGACUUAUCCAUGGGAGUCAGACUGCGAGUGAUAAGAUCCGUAGUCGAAAGGGAAACAGCCCAGACCACCAGCUAAGGUCCCAAAGUAUACGUUAAGUGGAAAAGGAUGUGGAGUUGCUUAGACAACCAGGAUGUUGGCUUAGAAGCAGCCACCAUUUAAAGAGUGCGUAAUAGCUCACUGGUCGAGUGACUCUGCGCCGAAAAUGUACCGGGGCUAAACGUAUCACCGAAGCUGUGGAUUGACACCUCUAGGUGUCAGUGGUAGGAGAGCGUUCUAAGGACUGCGAAGCUAGACCGUAAGGACUGGUGGAGUGCUUAGAAGUGAGAAUGCCGGUAUGAGUAGCGAAAGAUGGGUGAGAAUCCCAUCCACCGAAUGCCUAAGGUUUCCUGAGGAAGGCUCGUCCGCUCAGGGUUAGUCGGGACCUAAGUCGAGGCCGAUAGGCGUAGACGAUGGACAACAGGUUGAUAUUCCUGUACCACCUCUUUUCCGUUUGAGCAAUGGGGGGACGCAGGAGGAUAGGGUAAGCGCACUGCUGGAUAUGUGCGUCUAAGCAGUUAGGCUGAUGAUGAGGCAAAUCCCAUCAUCGUGAAGGCUGAGCUGUGAUAGCGAGCGAAUUAUAGUAGCGAAGUUCCUGAUUCCACACUGCCAAGAAAAGCCUCUAGCGAGGAAAAAGGUGCCCGUACCGCAAACCGACACAGGUAGGCGAGGAGAGAAUCCUAAGGUGAGCGAGAGAACUCUCGUUAAGGAACUCGGCAAAAUGACCCCGUAACUUCGGGAGAAGGGGUGCUCUGGUAGGGUGCAAGCCCGAGAGAGCCGCAGUGAAUAGGCCCAGGCGACUGUUUAGCAAAAACACAGGUCUCUGCGAAGCCGUAAGGCGAAGUAUAGGGGCUGACGCCUGCCCGGUGCUGGAAGGUUAAGAGGAGUGCUUAGCGCAAGCGAAGGUGCGAAUCGAAGCCCCAGUAAACGGCGGCCGUAACUAUAACGGUCCUAAGGUAGCGAAAUUCCUUGUCGGGUAAGUUCCGACCCGCACGAAAGGCGUAACGAUCUGGGCACUGUCUCAACGAGAGACUCGGUGAAAUUAUAGUACCUGUGAAGAUGCAGGUUACCCGCGACAGGACGGAAAGACCCCGUGGAGCUUUACUGUAGCCUGAUAUUGAAUUUUGGUACAGCUUGUACAGGAUAGGUAGGAGCCUUGGAAACCGGAGCGCCAGCUUCGGUGGAGGCAUCGGUGGGAUACUACCCUGGCUGUAUUGAAAUUCUAACCCGCGCCCCUUAUCGGGGUGGGAGACAGUGUCAGGUGGGCAGUUUGACUGGGGCGGUCGCCUCCUAAAGAGUAACGGAGGCGCCCAAAGGUUCCCUCAGAAUGGUUGGAAAUCAUUCGCAGAGUGUAAAGGCACAAGGGAGCUUGACUGCGAGACCUACAAGUCGAGCAGGGACGAAAGUCGGGCUUAGUGAUCCGGUGGUUCCGCAUGGAAGGGCCAUCGCUCAACGGAUAAAAGCUACCCCGGGGAUAACAGGCUUAUCUCCCCCAAGAGUCCACAUCGACGGGGAGGUUUGGCACCUCGAUGUCGGCUCAUCGCAUCCUGGGGCUGUAGUCGGUCCCAAGGGUUGGGCUGUUCGCCCAUUAAAGCGGUACGCGAGCUGGGUUCAGAACGUCGUGAGACAGUUCGGUCCCUAUCCGUCGUGGGCGCAGGAAAUUUGAGAGGAGCUGUCCUUAGUACGAGAGGACCGGGAUGGACGCACCGCUGGUGUACCAGUUGUCUUGCCAAAGGCAUCGCUGGGUAGCUAUGUGCGGAAGGGAUAAGUGCUGAAAGCAUCUAAGCAUGAAGCCCCCCUCGAGAUGAGAUUUCCCAUCACGUAAGUGAGUAAGAUCCCUAGAAGAUGACUAGGUAGAUAGGUCAGAGAUGGAAGCAUGGCGACAUGUGGAGUUGACUGAUACUAAUCGAUCGAGGACUUAACC
RNAcentral lists this ribosomal RNA (2232 nucleotides) under Rossellomorea vietnamensis. RNAcentral's name for it is "bacterial LSU rRNA". It matches the Rfam family "Bacterial large subunit ribosomal RNA", at positions 698 to 2925 of the family's 2925-position model. Lineage: Bacteria; Bacillati; Bacillota; Bacilli; Caryophanales; Bacillaceae. The record is from RNAcentral.